UUCACUUAUCGCCGGAGGACAUUGUGGCUGAGCAUUUAAGGUAUGUGCUUUCAGAUAUAGGAGUUCAGUUGGGAGUUUCGGAAUCCUUCAGAGACAUGUUGUGAUUGGUGAAGGGUCUUUGUAACGAGAGGCAUACAACUGCCCAUACCUGGUUUCACUAGGUUAGAUCAGGCUUCUGAACGAGGUAUUCUUUACAUUGAUGGGUCUGGACCAACAUAUGCCACAAUAUCUGUAAGAUUACCGAGUUUGUUAAAUCAUUCUUCUCUUGUACUUCUACUAUUAUAGCUCCCUGUCGUAGGAUCACAAAGAUUCUAACACUUUCGAUUUUAUUAUAACUAUAAUAUAUAUUUAUGGAUAUUAAGAUUCUAUAUGGACUGGGAUUGAUUGCUUUGAUUUAGAUCAUAGAAUGUAAGAUAUUAAUGCGUGAACUUUGCAAACCAAAAGAAAUUAUAUGAAGAUUCAAACUUUCUACUCCUCCAACGAUUGUGUGUUGUUGACUUGGUCUAAAACAAUGUAGCUAUUUUUAUUGGAUUAUGUGUGUUGUGUGCUGAUCCUUAAUAUAUGAUAUAUUGGUUUAUGUA
Long non-coding RNA from Beta vulgaris subsp. vulgaris (sugar beet), 581 nucleotides. RefSeq lists it as uncharacterized. NCBI's taxonomy places the organism in Eukaryota, Viridiplantae, Streptophyta, Magnoliopsida, Caryophyllales, Amaranthaceae. The transcript is spliced from 2 exons. The record is from RefSeq and is a predicted model, not a curated record.